RNAcentral lists this ribosomal RNA (253 nucleotides) under uncultured bacterium. Its description in RNAcentral is "partial 16S ribosomal RNA". It matches the Rfam family "Bacterial small subunit ribosomal RNA", at positions 524 to 776 of the family's 1533-position model. The record is from RNAcentral.
UACGAAGGGGGCUAGCGUUGCUCGGAAUCACUGGGCGUAAAGCGCACGUAGGCGGAUUGUUAAGUCAGGGGUGAAAUCCUGGAGCUCAACUCCAGAACUGCCCUUGAUACUGGCGGUCUCGAGUCCGGGAGAGGUGAGUGGAACUGCGAGUGUAGAGGUGAAAUUCGUAGAUAUUCGCAAGAACACCAGUGGCGAAGGCGGCUCACUGGUCCGGUACUGACGCUGAGGUGCGAAAGCGUGGGGAGCAAACAGG